Molecule: ribosomal RNA, 198 nt
Filed under: uncultured bacterium
Lineage: Bacteria
Description: partial 16S ribosomal RNA
Rfam family: Bacterial small subunit ribosomal RNA
Source: RNAcentral
ACGCUCGACACCUACUGGAGGCAGCAGUGGGGGAUAUUGCACAAUGGGGGAAACCCUGAUGCAGCAACGCCGCGUGAGGGAAGACGGUUUUCGGAUUGUAAACCUCUGUCAUCGGUGACGAUAAUGACGGUAGCCGAUGAGGAAGCUCCGGCUAACUACGUGCCAGCAGCCGCGGUAAUCUGAGCGGGCUGGCAAGGC